GACGAACGCUGGCGGCGUGCUUAACACAUGCAAGUCGAACGGAAAGGCCCUGCUUUUGUGGGGUGCUCGAGUGGCGAACGGGUGAGUAACACGUGAGUAACCUGCCCUUGACUUUGGGAUAACUUCAGGAAACUGGGGCUAAUACCGGAUAGGAGCUCCUGCUGCAUGGUGGGGGUUGGAAAGUUUCGGCGGUUGGGGAUGGACUCGCGGCUUAUCAGCUUGUUGGUGGGGUAGUGGCUUACCAAGGCUUUGACGGGUAGCCGGCCUGAGAGGGUGACCGGGCACAAUGGGACUGGGAUACGGCCCAGACUCCUACGGGAGGCAGCAGGGGGGAAUAUUGCCCAAUGGGCGGGAGCCUGAUGCAGCAACCCCGCGUGCGGGAAGACGGCCUUCGGGUUGUAAACCGCUUUCGGCUGUGACCAAGCGUGAGUGACGGUAAUGGGUAAAGAAGCACCGGCUAACUACGUG
RNAcentral lists this ribosomal RNA (468 nucleotides) under uncultured bacterium. RNAcentral's name for it is "partial 16S ribosomal RNA". It matches the Rfam family "Bacterial small subunit ribosomal RNA", at positions 28 to 507 of the family's 1533-position model. The record is from RNAcentral.